AGGGUUUGAUCAUGGCUCAGAACGUACGCUGGCGGCACGCCUAAUACAUGCAAGUCGAACGAAGUAGCAAUACUUAGUGGCAGACGGGUGAGUAACAUGUAGGUAUCUACCCUUUGGCCCGGAAUAACACGAGGAAACUUGUGCUAAUACCGGAUAAGUCUUUACGGAGAAAGCUUUAUGCACCAUUGGACGAGCCUGCACUUGAUUAGUUUGUUGGUGGGGUAAUGGCCUACCAAGACAAUGAUCAAUAGCUGAUUUGAGAGGAUGAUCAGCCACAUUGGGACUGAGACACGGCCCAAACUCCUACGGGAGGCAGCAGUAGGGAAUCUUGCACAAUGGAGGAAACUCUGAUGCAGCGAUGCCGCGUGAGUGAAGAAGGCCUUUGGGUUGUAAAGCUCUUUCGUCGGGGAAGAAAAUGACUGUACCCGAAUAAGAAGGUCCGGCUAACUUCGUGCCAGCCGCCGCGGUAAUAC
This 473-nucleotide ribosomal RNA is filed under the name uncultured bacterium. Its description in RNAcentral is "bacterial SSU rRNA". It matches the Rfam family "Bacterial small subunit ribosomal RNA", at positions 8 to 526 of the family's 1533-position model. The record is from RNAcentral.